AUCCAAUUGGCGAGUCCAAAAUAGAAUGAAACACGCGUCCUGGAU
This 45-nucleotide non-coding RNA is filed under the name Schistosoma margrebowiei. The record is from RNAcentral. Lineage: Eukaryota; Metazoa; Platyhelminthes; Trematoda; Strigeidida; Schistosomatidae.